This is a long non-coding RNA of Sarcophilus harrisii (Tasmanian devil), 2080 nucleotides long. Lineage: Eukaryota; Metazoa; Chordata; Mammalia; Dasyuromorphia; Dasyuridae. The record is from Ensembl.
GCUCAGGAACGGGAAAACUAUAUACCAUUGUCCUUACCCAAAGGGCUUCACACCUUAUUAAUGGUGACUCAUGUCUGGGUGGGGCCACUGUCUUGGAGGGGGCCUCCGUGAGGGGGGGCUUUGCCCCCAGGCGUUCUCCUGCCCUAGCAGGCCCCAGGCCACCAGUCUUUUACGGGCAGAGCAGCUGGGGCUGGGUGCCAGUCCCUCAGCAGCUGGCUCCCGUCCUUGGGGCCUCCAGAGCUCUGCUGUCAGGGACUCACCUGAUUGAUCUAUACUGCUAGCUGCAGCCAUAUACUUUUCCUUUGUCUGUAGGGGUUCCAGGGCUCUACGUCCCUGGCUCUUCCAUUUAAGACGAUGGGCUUCCAGAGCAGCCCCGACUGCGAGCCCCCUUGUUCUGGAUUGGUGGCUCCCGGAUCUGUUUAACUUUUCAGAGGGACGCAGGAAGACCUCUACGUGGCUGACACAGACAAGGCCCAUCACCUUUGAGGACAACACUCUGGAGAUCAAUUCUUGUGCUGUCUCCAAGACCAGCCAGAUCAAGGUAUGGCCGCCUAUGCCUUCGGUCCGCUAGUCCAAGCUGAUAAUCUGGCUUUUAUAAUCCAAACUGAAAACUGAUGCAAAUCAAGUACAGCUAUCCUAGGGCAGGAGGGACUGAACUUCUGAUAUCAUGUCCAGAUGGAAUUGUGAGCGGUUUUUAGCUUAGAACUCGUGAUGCAAAAUGGAAAAAGUCAUUGUGUAAAUAAAUUUAUGGACUCAGCACUUCCAAAUUAGCUGGAUGUGAUAAAGGAAUUCACUUAUAAAUUCCUUUGGCAUUUUAAAAUUGGCCAGUGUCAAUCACUUCUCUCUUUUUAAAAAAUUAAUAUUUAGAAGAAUUGUAUAUGUUUAACAUGGAUUACUUGCUGCCUUGGUGAGGGGGUGGAGAGAAGGGAGGAAGAAAACUUUGGAACACAAUGUUUUGCAAGGGUGAAUGUUGAAAAUUAUCUUUGCACAUAUUUUGAAAAAUAAAAAAAAUUUUUAAAAAUUGUUUUUUAAAGACUAUUUAGGGUAACGAAUGGGAUGCUGGCGACAAAUGUGAAUAAGGCCAACAUACUUUGGACGAGUUUAACUCCUGAACCAACUUUCUUUGGGUGCUCAAACACGCUUUGAUCCUGUGCCUCAUUGUAUUCCUGAGGUCUUUUUCAUAUAUAUGUUUUUAUCCAAGUUAAGCUUGACAAGUGAAUUAGAGUGAUAUAUUCUAGUCAAGCCAGAGAACUGUGGUCUGACGGGGCCAUUUCCAUCCUGAUACCUAGGAUUAGCCUGGAAAGAAGUAACAGCUCCAAUCUGUCCACGGCCGGUCCUGGGAAUGGAGCUCUUGGAACUUUCAUGCUGUCGCUGUACAAGCCAUCCCAGAGGUGGCGAGCAAUGUCUCCUGGAAAGGGGUGGCCAUCGGGCUUCUGAACGAGGACCCCUGAAAGUCACCCUCCUGGCGAACGGCGUAAGCCAAGGCGCCACUUGACUCACAGCAGCGGCAGAGACUUCCCUAAGCUUCAACUCGCACAAAGAACCACAGACUAUGUCUUAGGGUCCCAGACAAAAGGCUCGUCUAAGACCCAGACCUAGAACUUCAGGCACAUUUUUGCCAGAGAGUUUAAGUGCUUUGUCCAAAGUCAUAAAGGUAGCGUCAGAGGCAGGACUUGAAUUCAGGUCCUAUGACCCCAGAACUAGGUCUCUCUCCGCUGCAUCAAGCUGCUCUGGGGCACUUAUGUAGCGGCCAACCACAGACUAAAUUCUAUCUACUAACAUUCUAUUUCUCAGUAUGAAACAAAAAGCUAAUAAAAUAUCCUGCAUUCUCCAGUUUAAAAAAAGAUAUGAGAAAGAAAGUCUCCAGACCAAGGCAAAAGCUCCAGAAAUGCUACAAUGAAAUUAUGUACAUAAUCCAAUUCAAUAUGGUAAAAAAAAAAAAAAAAAAAAAUCCAUGGAACCUGGAUCUUUGGCAUUGGGCUGAGAUGGAGAAGAACAAGCAGGAAGAAAUCCCUCAAGAAUCAUGUGAACUCAUUUCAAUCAUUAAUGACAAGAGAUUUAAUAAAAUAAAGUAGAAAUU